AUGUGUGCGGUGGCAUCACAGGUCUUGGGGUGCACAGUGGGGCGCCAGUUAGCUGGGAGGGAAGUGGCGUCUGAAGGGGUGGGGGCAGCCGGAGAGGGUCCCCAGCACAGCCUGGGGAAGGAGCGGGGUGGGGGUCGGGGUGGGAGUGGAGCAGCCAGCGGAUGGAGGGAACCGCAUUCGGGAAAGCUCCUUGCCGAGCAGGCGGGAGGAAGGACGGGCAGGCUGUCCUGGCCGGGCCUGGAGGCGGACACGGGAGGACAGAGGCAAGAAAGGGGCGAGGGGGCUGCAGGGAGCUGCCACCACCCAAGUCCCUCUCAGCAGGUCCUUUCCUUCCACGGGGCCCCUGUGCACCAGGCACGGGAGGGGCUUCCCCACGCUUCCUCGGGGGCCGUCGGGGGAGUCAGGGGGAAGCUGGCCAGGCUCUCGCCUCUGCCCGCAAGCUGCCUACGCUGGCGCUCCUGGCCCAUGGAGCACGGCUUUCUCUCGCACCCCUGGAACCCCGUUUGGGUUUUACGAGCCGGGAAACCCCAGCUCUCCCAGGUCCCUCGGGGCUUGAGAGCCGCCCUCGAACCCGCAGCUCGCCACAGCCUGCCUCCUCGACUGCUGAAACGGCAUGGAUGUGGCAUCGGGAUUUCAAAGCCACAGAAGCAUGUUUUCCAGCCCUCUGCGAGGGCUGCUGGACGGGACGCCAGGUGCCCCAGAUCAGAGACCGGGGGCGGCGGGGGGGGAGGGCCUCAGGGGUCACCUCGGGUGCACCGUGGCCCGCACACCUGGGUCUCAGCAUGGGGCUCCGGCAGCUCUUCGAAUCCACAGAGUGAACUCCCUUCCGCUGAAACACAUCAUUUGCCGGCACUGACGCAGCAGCACCGGGCCCUGUGCGAGGCGCCAAGGACACGCAGCAGAUGCGCGGGCUGCCCCUUCCGAACACACGGCCUGGAUUCAGGGAAACACCAGGCACUAAACCAACCUGAUUCCCCAAAGAACGGCCUCCUCUCUGGCCCAAAAGGCACUGCAACGUCCAGGCGCAAACAAGGAGCGCAACCCGGAGGCCCCGGGCGCAGUGCCCACAGCACGUGUGGUGUCUGCCAAGGGCCCUCUCGGACCAGGGGGAUCCAAGCCAGUGCCCUCACCCCCAGUGUUGCCGUUCCCCGACCCCCGUGGUGA
RNAcentral lists this long non-coding RNA (1164 nucleotides) under Sus scrofa (pig). Its description in RNAcentral is "lncRNA (ENSSSCG00070006422.1)". Lineage: Eukaryota; Metazoa; Chordata; Mammalia; Artiodactyla; Suidae. The record is from RNAcentral.